AUGAUGAAAGUUCAGCUGCUGCUGCUCCUGGCCCUGGUCGGCUCUUUCUGCGCCGUUACACGUGCAAGCCCUACAUCGAACCCCUUAGAGGCUGCUGGGACGGCAGAGGCUGUAAUAGAAGCUGCACCAGAAGCUACAGAUGCUGCACCUGAAGCUGCACCAGAAGCUACAGAUGCUGCACCUGAAGCUGUUCCAGAAGCUACAGAAGCUGGACCUGAAGCUACAGAGUUAGCAACAGCGGAAGUUCUCCCCGUCAUCACUGGACCACCUGCGACUGAUGCAGCGGUGGCGGUUGAAGAAGUGGUGACAGAGGCUGCUGAGGCUCCUCCUCCUGCUGUGACGGAACACGUGGAGGAGCCUAUGGUGGAGACGGAGGCCUCCAUCGCUGCCACCACUGAACCUGCACCAGUUAUCACUGAAGCCCCCGUCGUAGAUACUGAGGCCCCCACUGAGGCGGCUGAGGUUCUGCCAGAGGUGACGGCAGUUCCACAAGCAGAGACUGAAGCAGCUGUUACAGAUACACCAGCAGCUGGAGAUGUGGUGGUUGAAGACGAUGCUGAUGAGGGUCUGAGCUCUGGUCAGGUGGUGGGUAUUGUGAUUGGUGCCCUGCUGGCAGUGGUCAUCGUCAUCGCCAUCGUUAUCGCUGUGGUGAGGAGGAUGGGAAAAUACUCCCCCUGAGGAAAAAGUCGGCCAAGCAGCCGGAGCGUACAAAGUUCUGGAAAUUCUGAACUACUGAACUGUGACAUCGUUUCUGAUCAUUAAAACAAGUGCCAAACCAGAACUAAACUUAUCUAACCAGGACUUUGGACCAUUGCCAAACCCCCCUAAAAAAAGAACAGGGAGAGGGGGAAGGGAGGUUUGUGUGUGUGUGUGUGUGUUACUACGUGUGUGUACUGUUUGUAUGUGAGAACCUGAGGGGACAUGAGCCGACCUCCUCGCCUCCUGUCAUCCCCCCCACGACCCCCCAGGACCCCCCAGGAGCUACUGAGACAAAACGGCUAUGCCAUCCCUCUAUCCCACACAGAGAAAGAAAGGAAGGGGACGGCGAGGUGUGGCUAUGAAUUUCAUGGCUUUUUAAAUUCAUGUUCUGACAUCUGAGGAGGUUCUGUAGUUUAACGUGAGCCUCAGACACGACAGCAACAAAAAUAAAACAGGAAAUAUGGAAUGUAUAUACA
RNAcentral lists this long non-coding RNA (1175 nucleotides) under Gouania willdenowi (blunt-snouted clingfish). RNAcentral's name for it is "lncRNA (ENSGWIG00000002447.1)". The record is from RNAcentral. Lineage: Eukaryota; Metazoa; Chordata; Actinopteri; Blenniiformes; Gobiesocidae.